RNAcentral lists this non-coding RNA (30 nucleotides) under Mus musculus (house mouse). The record is from RNAcentral. Lineage: Eukaryota; Metazoa; Chordata; Mammalia; Rodentia; Muridae.
UGUGAGGCCAUGUUGAAUAAUUUUAGUAGU